RNAcentral lists this ribosomal RNA (253 nucleotides) under uncultured bacterium. RNAcentral's name for it is "partial 16S ribosomal RNA". It matches the Rfam family "Bacterial small subunit ribosomal RNA", at positions 524 to 776 of the family's 1533-position model. The record is from RNAcentral.
UACGUAGGGGGCAAGCGUUGUCCGGAAUCAUUGGGCGUAAAGCGCGUGUAGGCGGCCCGGUAAGUCCGCUGUGAAAGUCGGGGGCUCAACCCUCGAAUGCCGGUGGAUACUGUCGGGCUAGAGUGCGGAAGAGGCGAGUGGAAUUCCUGGUGUAGCGGUGAAAUGCGUAGAUAUCAGGAGGAACACCGGUGGCGAAGGCGCCACUCUGGGCCGGUACUGACGCUGAGGAGCGAAAGCGUGGGGAGCAAACAGG